This 597-nucleotide ribosomal RNA is filed under the name Hanseniaspora uvarum. RNAcentral's name for it is "partial large subunit ribosomal RNA". It matches the Rfam family "Eukaryotic large subunit ribosomal RNA", at positions 66 to 668 of the family's 3401-position model. Lineage: Eukaryota; Fungi; Ascomycota; Saccharomycetes; Saccharomycodales; Saccharomycodaceae. The record is from RNAcentral.
CCGUUUCUUUCUUUUCCUACUAUCUAGUAACGGCGAGUGAAGCGGUAAAAGCUCAAAUUUGAAAUCUGGUACUUUCAGUGCCCGAGUUGUAAUUUGUAGAAUUUGUCUUUGAUUAGGUCCUUGUCUAUGUUCCUUGGAACAGGACGUCAUAGAGGGUGAGAAUCCCGUUUGGCGAGGAUACCUUUUCUCUGUAAGACUUUUUCGAAGAGUCGAGUUGUUUGGGAAUGCAGCUCAAAGUGGGUGGUAAAUUCCAUCUAAAGCUAAAUAUUGGCGAGAGACCGAUAGCGAACAAGUACAGUGAUGGAAAGAUGAAAAGAACUUUGAAAAGAGAGUGAAAAAGUACGUGAAAUUGUUGAAAGGGAAGGGCAUUUGAUCAGACAUGGUGUUUUUUGCAUGCACUCGCCUCUCGUGGGCUUGGGCCUCUCAAAAAUUUCACUGGGCCAACAUCAAUUCUGGCAGCAGGAUAAAUCAUUAAGAAUGUAGCUACUUCGGUAGUGUUAUAGCUUUUUGGAAUACUGUUAGCCGGGAUUGAGGACUGCGCUUCGGCAAGGAUGUUGGCAUAAUGGUUAAAUGCCGCCCGUCUUGAAACACGGACCA